UGGGGAAUUUUGGACAAUGGGGAAACCCUGAUCCAGCCAUCCCGCGUGUGCGAUGAAGGCCUUCGGGUUGUAAAGCACUUUUGGCAGGAAAGAAACGUCGCGGGUUAAUACCCCGCGAAACUGACGGUACCUGCAGAAUAAGCACCGGCUAACUACGUGCCAGCAGCCGCGGUAAUACGUAGGGUGCAAGCGUUAAUCGGAAUUACUGGGCGUAAAGCGUGCGCAGGCGGUUCGGAAAGAAAGAUGUGAAAUCCCAGAGCUUAACUUUGGAACUGCAUUUUUUAACUACCGGGCUAGAGUGUGUCAGAGGGAGGUGGAAUUCCGCGUGUAGCAGUGAAAUGCGUAGAUAUGCGGAGGAACACCGAUGGCGAAGGCAGCCUCCUGGGAUAACACUGACGCUCAUGCACGAAAGCGUGGGGAGCAAACAGGAUUAGAUACCCUGGUAGUCCACGCCCUAAACGAUGUCAACUAGCCUGUUGGGGCCUUCGGGCCUUGGUAGCGCAGCUAACGCGUGAAGUUGACCGCCUGGGGAGUACGGUCGCAAGAUU
This 548-nucleotide ribosomal RNA is filed under the name uncultured bacterium. RNAcentral's name for it is "partial 16S ribosomal RNA". It matches the Rfam family "Bacterial small subunit ribosomal RNA", at positions 355 to 895 of the family's 1533-position model. The record is from RNAcentral.